RNAcentral lists this ribosomal RNA (491 nucleotides) under uncultured bacterium. Its description in RNAcentral is "partial 16S ribosomal RNA". It matches the Rfam family "Bacterial small subunit ribosomal RNA", at positions 29 to 506 of the family's 1533-position model. The record is from RNAcentral.
AGUGAACGCUGGCGGUAGGCCUAACACAUGCAAGUCGAACGGCAGCACAGUAAGAGCUUGCUCUUACGGGUGGCGAGUGGCGGACGGGUGAGGAGUACAUCGGAAUCUACUUUUUCGUGGGGGAUAACGUAGGGAAACUUACGCUAAUACCGCAUACGACCUACGGGUGAAAGCAGGGGAUCUUCGGACCUUGCGCGAUUGAAUGAGCCGAUGUCGGAUUAGCUAGUUGGCGGGGUAAAGGCCCACCAAGGCGACGAUCCGUAGCUGGUCUGAGAGGAUGAUCAGCCACACUGGAACUGAGACACGGUCCAGACUCCUACGGGAGGCAGCAGUGGGGAAUAUUGGACAAUGGGCGCAAGCCUGAUCCAGCCAGACCGCGUGGGUGAAGAAGGCCUUCGGGUUGUAAAGCCCUUUUGUUGGGAAAGAAAAGCAGCAGGUUAAUACCCCGCUGUUCUGACGGUACCCAAAGAAUAAGCACCGGCGAACUUCGU